GGUUGACCUCGGAUCAGGUAGGGAUACCCGCUGAACUUAAGCAUAUCAAUAAGCGGAGGAAAAGAAACCAACAGGGAUUGCCUCAGUAACGGCGAGUGAAGCGGCAACAGCUCAAAUUUGAAAUCUGGCCUCUUUUGCGGUCCGAGUUGUAAUUUGUAGAGGAUGCUUCGGGCAAGACUGUGGUCUAAUUUGCUUGGAACAGCGAGUCACAGAGGGUGAGAGUCCCGUCUAGGACCGUAAGUCGCGUCCAUGUGAAGCUCCUUCGACGAGUCGAGUUGUUUGGGAAUGCAGCUCUAAAUGGGUGGUAAAUUUCAUCUAAAGCUAAAUAUUGGCCAGAGACCGAUAGCGCACAAGUAGAGUGAUCGAAAGAUGAAAAGCACUUUGAAAAGAGAGUUAAACAGUAUGUGAAAUUGUYGAAAGGGAAGCGCUUGCAACUAGACUUGUGAGUGACGGUUCCCCCGGCCUCUUUGGCCGGGUUACUCCGUCAUCUCCAGGCCAGCAUCGGUUUGAGUGGUCGGUUAAAGACCACGGGAAUGUAUCUACCUCCGGGUCGACUUAUAGCCCGUGGUGUAAUGCGGCCCACCCAGACCGAGGAACGCGCUUCGGCUCGGAUGCUGGCGUAAUAGUUGUAAGCGGCCCGUCUUGAAACACGGACCAAGGAGUCUAACAUCUAUGCGAGUGUUUGGGUGUUAAACCCCUACGCGUAAUGAAAGUGAACGGAGGUAAGAACCCCGUCAAGGGGCGCAUUAUCGACCGAUCUGAUGUCUUCGGAUGGAUUUGAGUAAGAGCAUAGCUGUUGGGACCCGAAAGAUGGUGAACUAUGCCUGAAUAGGGUGAAGCCAGAGGAAACUCUGGUGGAGGCUCGCAGCGGUUCUGACGUGCAAAUCGAUCGUCAAAUUUGGGCAUAGGGGCGAAAGACUAAUCGAACCAUUAAGAAUGAUUGAAAAAGAAUUAGAUGGCUACCGGGUGGUUCUUCAACAGUCCCUUGAGGGCUACAUCGUCCUUCUGGCGGGGUCAACACCCGCAGCAGCUUCGGCUGUUCACAGACUAGGAGACGGUGGUCAUCUCAACUCGAGAGAUGAUGAUGAUAUAGUCGGUUUAGCUAUGCUACGUAGCUAAAUUGUACGCUGGUAGCUGGUUCCUGUCGAAGUUUCCCUCAGGAUAGCAGUAACGUUUUCAGUUUUAUGAGGUAAAGCGAAUGAUUAGAGGCCUUGGGGUUGAAACAACCUUAACCUAUUCUCAAACUUUAAAUAUGUAAGAAGUCCUUGUUACUUAAUUGAACGUGGACAUUUGAAUGUAUCGUUACUAGUGGGCCAUUUUUGGUAAGCAGAACUGGCGAUGCGGGAUGAACCGAACGUGAGGUUAAGGUGCCGGAAUGUACGCUCAUCAGACACCACAAAAGGUGUCAAUGCAUCCAGACAGCCGGACGGUGGCCAUGGAAGUCGGAAUCCGCUUAGGAGUGUGUAACAACUCACCGGCCGAAUGCAUUGGCCCU
Molecule: ribosomal RNA, 1495 nt
Filed under: Verrucaria sublobulata
Lineage: Eukaryota; Fungi; Ascomycota; Eurotiomycetes; Verrucariales; Verrucariaceae
Description: eukaryotic LSU rRNA
Rfam family: Eukaryotic large subunit ribosomal RNA
Source: RNAcentral